GGAAUGCUCCCUUAGGAUAGGCAACUUUGUAAAUUCUCUUAAUCAUGUCCUUUCUUGUAACCUAAGCCACAUUACAACCUUUGAAAGACCUCUUGAUUCUCAUUUUUCACAUGAUUUGGUAUUUGUUGUGAUAACCGCAUGAUUUGAGUUGUUGUUGAUUUAAUUGUUUGGAUGAGUGAAAGUAACCCUUCAUGUUAUUCAUCAUUAUUAUGAUGUGUGUGUAAGUUUGAUUCAAUUU
Molecule: long non-coding RNA, 238 nt
Filed under: Lathyrus oleraceus (garden pea)
Lineage: Eukaryota; Viridiplantae; Streptophyta; Magnoliopsida; Fabales; Fabaceae
Description: Pisum sativum (pea) long non-coding RNA (PSAT_LNC018379)
Source: RNAcentral